GGUCAGGGCGGGAGUCGGAGAGCGCGCCCGGCGCAGCAGCGAGACGUGUGUCUGUGGAUUUCGGGCUGCGAUGGCGAGUAGGGAGCUAUGUCUCCUACUUGUGCUGGAAGCCGUUUCUCGCGCUCAUUCUCUGUAACUGGAGGAGGAGGGGUGGCCUUUAGGGUUCGCCUUGAUCGGAGGGGUCCGGUUCCCGCGCUCCCGCCCGGGCCGCAUAAUCUCGCCCAGCACCUUUUCUUCCUUCUUGGUUAUGGCUUGACGAACCCUUAAGGACUCGUCGGCCAACGUUGUGGCACAUUCCUGAAAAGGACGAGGACCCUUUACCCGAGGGGAGUAAAGACAGUACUUGGAAGAUGACGGGUCUAGUCAUCCUUGCACAAGGAAAGCCUUCUGCGCGCUUUGGCGUCUGUACAUGUUGGGACUCCUCAGGCACUGAAAUACUGAAGUCCAGCUCAUUCUCAGUCUCUUGAAAACUGUGUUCACUGUUGGACAGUACUGGCACAGAUCCAAAUCUCCACUUGAAUAUUGAGGAACUCAACAAAGAAUUUAUGGUGAAAAGUGAAGAGCUCUACCAAUCUCUCAUGAAUAGCCACUGGCAGCCUCUCGAUACGGUAUACUCAGAAAUCCCAGACAAGACCCCCCAAGAGCAAGAUGCUGAUUAAGCUACCAAUUAUCAUAUUCAUUGUGUCUUAUUUUGUUUUUGUUUAAAAAGUUCUCGCAGAAAGGCACUGGAUUGUGUGUAUAAAUACAGAUUCUUGAGGGAGUGUCAUGUAAAUAAACGUUGCCAGCACGUUCA
This 793-nucleotide unclassified non-coding RNA is filed under the name Bos taurus (domestic cattle). RNAcentral describes it as "long non-coding RNA NONBTAT014709". The record is from RNAcentral. Lineage: Eukaryota; Metazoa; Chordata; Mammalia; Artiodactyla; Bovidae.